CUCAAAUAAGGGAUCUUCUUGGGACCAGGACUGAAUGAAGGUGGGAGAGAGGGUGUGUCUCACGGGGCCCAGGAGGGAGAAAUUGUGGUUCUGAGAAGGUAUUUUUUGGCCUCUUGAAAAUGUGCAAGAAUUCCGCGGGCCCAGGCUUUCUUUGUGUGGCGGGCAGCGCCAAGCGCUUUGUGCUUCACAAGGAGAAAAUGGCGAGUCCUAUUGUGUUUAGGCCAUUUUCUUCCGGUACCAGAAUUUUCCCAAGUUCGAAAUACUUCUUCAGAAAGUAGCCUUCUCACGCCCAGGAAAGUGUGAAUCGCUGAGGCUCGGCCCCAUGGCCUGGCGUGGGUGCCGACCUCAGUUUAAAACCAAGGGCCUGUUUUCUUACCGUUGGGAUACUUGUAUCAAAGCACAGAUAUGACCGGUUUGUGCUGAUCGGUGUCCUCCAAAGAUCAACAGCGGCUCUUGGGGUUUGGGAAAAUAAGUGCCUAUUUAAAUAUGCAUAUAUACAUACAUAUUUAAAACAUAUUUUUCCUGAUAAUGUGAAGGAGAAAAUAAAAAACGAAAGACAAUUACAUUUUUGAAAGAGAAUAUUUCUUUCCCUUUCUCCUUUCUCCCCCUCAAGGAAACCCCAAGAGAUGUUAAAUGUUACUCUGCCGGGUCAGUCUUUUGUUUUUUAAACUGAAGAUGAAAUGCUAUUUUGGAUGGAAGAAUUAUUCCUCAUCUUAGCCACUGGAACAUAUGCUUUGCUAGAAAAAAAAAAUGUAAGACGUUAGAGAUGGAUUUAGUUUAAUGCUCUUAGCCUGUGUGUGUGUGUGUGUGUGUGCUAUCUAUAUGCCUCUAUAUAGCGAUAUAAAUAUGGAGAGAGAAAUGAUUGAAAAGGUUGUUUGGCUUUUGCCCCUGAAUUUGUCAUUUUUGUAAUUUUUCCGCACUUGUUAAACCAUAUAUAAAAGUGGAAAAGGAUGCCUAUACAAGAAUGUCUAUGUCUCUUUUGAAAACCGCCAAAAGAAUAUUGCAGGUUGAAAGAUAUUAUUUCCUAUUUACUACAAUUAUUUGGAUCUUUCAAUGGAGUGGUGGUUUUGUCAACUCAAAAAUAAUGAAAUGCAAACUUUCCCUAUCUGCUUCCUGUACCUUCAAUUUGGUGGCAAAUAUAGAAAAAUGAAAACAACUGGGAUGGGGAAGAGAACUUAAAGCCUAUAGCGUUUCCCCCUUUUGAUAUCAUUUUAAAAUGCUAGGGAGUCUAAUUUGUGCAGAAGCGUUGUGACUUUCAUUUUUCAAAAGGUAACACUAGCAUAUUCUUUCAUGUGGAUCAAGACCAUGGACAGCGAACUAAUAUUAAAUCACUGAGCAAAAAGGACUCUAAUAAAAUGUUGAGACCUGAGUGGAAGUUUACAUUCAAAACAUGUUAGAAGUGAAACAUAAUCUUUUUGGUCUUUAAGAGGAAUUUUAGACUGGUAAAAUGUGGCAUUUCAAACUUAUUCUACCAAGUUUCAAAGAAACAAUGAUUAUGUGUUCAGUUUUUAUCCUGCCUUGAAUAGUAUGUAUUAUUUAUCCAAUUAAAAUAAGAUAAAGCCCACCUUUUGGUACUGGUACAUAUAAAAUUUAAAUCUAUCAUUUUUAGAUGUAGAAUGUUUUUCAUAAGGCCUUGAAACAGAAUGGGGAUAGAGAAAUUUUACUAUUUCAGACUGGCAUUGGCUGAAUGACACUACAGAAAAUUAAAUUGAUUUUUAUCAGUGACUGAAUUUCUAAAUGCAUAAAAUUGGGAAAAUUAAAUGCCACUUUGAUAGACAGGAAUAAUAUGAAUGGAGAUAUAAUCCAGCUAUUCCUUUUACCCCUGUGUAGGCAUUGUACUCUAUAACUGACAGUGCAAUGUUGUGAGCAAGCAUUUAUUUUUUUUCCAAGAAAGUCACAGAUUUUUUCAUAUAUACUGAUUAGAUUUGGGGCACAGGAUUGGUUCAGUGUGGCUCUGUGCUGGAGAUCAGCUUAUUUUGUUUUAUACAUUGUUUGAAUAGUCUUUACUCCUUUACAGAAUUAAAAUUCAUUUAAAACAAUUUCAUUUGUGGAUUACAUAACUUAUUCAAAAUUGCUCAUUUAAAUUUCCAGUUUAAUAUGUCUUUUGGCUUAUUUCAUAACCUGACUUUAGUGUGAACUGUAAAGGCCUGGAAAAUCAUAUAAAGCAAAAACAGAAUGCAGGUUAGAAAAAUUAAAAUAGUUUAUAAUUAAGUUAAAAUUACAUCAAUUUAAAAGGACCUUGGAGUUUAUAAAUAAAGUAAUUUUUGAUCUUUAUUCAUCAGCUUUGGCUAUAAAAUGAAACUGCAGUUCUUUGAAUGUGCAGGUUGCUAGAAUUGGAUGCUACAUAUAUUUUGAACACACACAUUUAUUUUAAUAUUUUAUUUUUAGACAACGUAUUCAAAGUACUUGAGAAGAAUAUGCAAUGACAUUUUUUCCGUGUCCUAAUCAGGACCAUGGUGAGGUCCCCGUGAUUUACCUAGUGGUGGUCCAGGGCUCUGGUUGGGACGCUGAGUUAUGUUGGCAAAGAGUCAUUGUUUUGAAAGGCACAUUCGUCCGGCAUGGCAUUCGUGAUAAGAUUAAGCAUAAACCUAAACCUUGGCCUGGGGGGAAGGAAGGCUGCGGGGUUGAAAAGAGGAGAUGCAGAUUAGCUCUGCUUUUGCUGCUUGCGCACGUAAUUAAGAGGCGGUCCCUCAGCUGGAGCGUGGGCUCUGUCCGGUCUAAGGUGCUUAUUUUCCUGUUACUUGGCCAACCAAGUGUGAGUGAACAGGAGCCCGAGAGCUUAAAUGCGGGAUCUAGAUAAGGUGUCGACGGGUUGUGGGCGCUUGUCUCCAUGUUAGGGAGAGGCAGCUGAGAACGGUGACUUUGGCUUGUUUUGAGAGAGCUUGGGUUUUGACAGCAGGACGGCGAAGGGAGCGCUUGGAGAGGCUGGAAGCUCGACGUCUUAGGGAGCUGCCUACGGGCACUGGGUUGACGCCAAGGGGUUGUCGGCAAGGGCAGGGCUCUUGCCCUCUGCUGUACCCAGGCUCUGCAAUUGGGGGCUGCAAGCCUUCUGCGGCUCUUUGGUUUCAAGGACACAGCGAGCUGCUCAGGACUUUGGGAGCCAACAUCUGUCUGACUGGUGACGUCAGCAGCCCGUGUAAUCCUCUUGUGCUGAAGGCAGAUGCCUUAUUUGUUUGGCUGGAGCGAGCCAUUAAUCCCUAAUUCUGGAUCAGCAAGCGAGGGGGAAAGACCGGACCGCUCCGACCCACCCCCUCCCUACCCCCACCUCCCACCUUAAAGCACCUUAUACCACAGAAGCCUCUCAGCCUCUUCUUUCCUCUGCGAACGCGCUGAGCAGCGAUUGAAAACGUUUUGGUUCUCUCCAGGGGCGCAUUCUGGGGUCUCUGCGCAAGACCAGCUCUCAGCUCUCUCUCCUUUCCUCGGACUCUGGAGCGGGAGCGGGCCUUUUCCUCGGGCCGAUCACGCCGUAGGGGACGCCAUGAAAAGAGCCGUCGCGCCCGCUGCCUCCUGCCCGCUGCGCAGAGGGCUCCGCCCGUAGAGGUCAACUUCCCUCACCCUUUCCUCUCUCCUGCUCGCCCUCCCUCCGCUCGGCCCAGGCGCUUCCAGCCGCAGACUCUGGCCACAGGCUGAGGAGUGCGAGUCGGCUGCGCUGCCCUGAGCCGAAUCGCCCUUCCGGGCCCAGACCCGAGUUCCGCGCUCCCGGGCAGUGGGAAAGCUUUAGUGAGCAGCCUUUUCUCUCCGCAGCAAACUCGUAGCCAGACCAGAUGGGCCGCCCAGCUCUCUCGGGACUAGGCAGGUGCGGUUGAGUUAAUUUUUCCGCAUUACAAAGAAAGAUGACCCAGCCCGCCCUCGGACUCUCUUUUCCCAAAAUCUCCCAACCAAACCCGCGGUAACGUUAUCAGAGGACACAGAGACCAGGCAUAUCUGUGUGUUUAUCUUACAGGCACACAGGCAUGUUUGUUUUCUCUUUUAUGUGCUAGAUUUCAUCCCUGACAGCAGAAAAUGAUUGGCAACGAUUCUGACGGAGAACAUGCAAUGGCGUGGUCCUUAAAAACCUGCCAUUCCUUACAAGUGCCUUAGAAAGGAUUCAGGGCGGACCAACUGGGUUAAUUACAUUCAGUAAAAUAACACUAUUACAAAAUUA
RNA transcript from Cercocebus atys (sooty mangabey), 4144 nucleotides. RefSeq lists it as uncharacterized. NCBI's taxonomy places the organism in Eukaryota, Metazoa, Chordata, Mammalia, Primates, Cercopithecidae. The record is from RefSeq and is a predicted model, not a curated record. The transcript is spliced from 2 exons.